Molecule: ribosomal RNA, 346 nt
Filed under: uncultured Lactifluus
Lineage: Eukaryota; Fungi; Basidiomycota; Agaricomycetes; Russulales; Russulaceae
Description: eukaryotic LSU rRNA
Rfam family: 5.8S ribosomal RNA (bases 1-89)
Source: RNAcentral
UGUGAAUUGCAGAAUUCAGUGAAUCAUCGAAUCUUUGAACGCACCUUGCGCCCCUUGGCACUCCGAGGGGCACACCCGUUUGAGUGUCGUAGAAAUUCUCAACCUCCCCAAUUUAUGGGAAAGGCUUGGAUCUUGGAGGCUUUUGCUGGCUUUUUCGGAGGCCAGCUCCUCUUAAACAGAUUAGUAGGGUUCUCUUUGCCGAUCCCUUGACGUGAUAAGANUUUUCUUACGUCCGAGGUUUUGCGAAGACCUGCUUCUAAUCGUCUCUCCCGAGACACGAUUGAACCCUUUUGACCUCAAAUCGGGUGAGACUACCCGCUGAACUUAAGCAUAUCAAUAAGCGGAG